GACGAACGCUGGCGGCGUGCUUAACACAUGCAAGUCGAACGGAAAGGCCCUGCUUUUGUUGGUUUCUCGAGUGGCGAACGGGUGAGUAACACGUGAGUAACCUGCCCUUGACUUUGUGAUAACUUCAGGAAACUGGGGCUAAUACACGAUAGGAGCUCCUGCUGCAUGGUGGGGGUUGGAAAGUUUCGGCGGUUGGGGAUUGACUCGCGGCUUAUCAGCUUGUUGGUGUGGUAGUGGCUUACCAAGGCUUUGACGGGUAGCCGGCCUGAGAGGGUGACCGGCCACAUUGGUACUGAGGUACGGACCAGACUGCUACGGGAGGCAGCAGUGGAGAAUAUUGCACAAUGGGGCGAAGCGUGAGGCAGCAAUGCAGCGGGCGGGAUGACGGCUUUCGGGUUGUAAACCGCUUUCGCCUGUGACGAGGAGUGAGUGACGGUAAUGGGUAAAGAAGCACCGGCUAACUACGUG
RNAcentral lists this ribosomal RNA (468 nucleotides) under uncultured bacterium. RNAcentral describes it as "partial 16S ribosomal RNA". It matches the Rfam family "Bacterial small subunit ribosomal RNA", at positions 28 to 507 of the family's 1533-position model. The record is from RNAcentral.